Molecule: long non-coding RNA, 451 nt
Organism: Solanum dulcamara
Lineage: Eukaryota; Viridiplantae; Streptophyta; Magnoliopsida; Solanales; Solanaceae
Exons: 3
Source: RefSeq, a predicted model, not a curated record
UCACCUUAUUACCUCCACUUCAAAAGUUUUUCUUCUUUGCAUCUUCUUCAGUUCUCAAGUUCACAUAAAAGGAAGAGUGAAAAGUGAAAAUUGAAGAUGAAAUGGCCAGCUGAAGAUUUGGAAGUUCAACCUCAAGUAGAAGGAACUACAUUUGAUGAAACACAAGAAAAAGAAUAUUUGGACACUACUUUGAACAUUGAGUGAUUUUAGGCUAUGGAGGUUCAAGCCAUGUGGUUGAGGAAGAAGAAAAAGAUGUCAAAUCUUUCAAGUCUUACAGCAGCUUUGUUUCGAAAUUCCAACUCCAAGUUGUGACUUUUAACUUUUAAGUAUUUGAUUUCUGGUCUUCCAAUUUCUUUUCAUAUCUUUUUCAUAAUUUUGGAAUAGUGUUUCAAGCUCCUUGGGUGAUGAUGGAAUCUAGAAACUAUACUUCUAUUUAAAGUUCCUCUUCUUU